UGGAUCAAUGAUGAACACUGGUGGCGUAUGAGUCAUGGACGAUGACUACUGGUCUGGAAGUCUGAGGUCCAA
This is a small nucleolar RNA of Cynocephalus volans (Philippine flying lemur), 72 nucleotides long. RefSeq annotates it as small nucleolar RNA SNORD113/SNORD114 family. The transcript has a single exon. The record is from RefSeq and is a predicted model, not a curated record. NCBI's taxonomy places the organism in Eukaryota, Metazoa, Chordata, Mammalia, Dermoptera, Cynocephalidae.